GCCGUUGUGUCCGAGUGGUCAAGGAGGCAGACUUGAAAUCUGCUGGGUUCUGCCCACGCGAGUUCGAAUCUCGUCGACGGCU
Molecule: non-coding RNA, 82 nt
Organism: Beta vulgaris subsp. vulgaris (sugar beet)
Lineage: Eukaryota; Viridiplantae; Streptophyta; Magnoliopsida; Caryophyllales; Amaranthaceae
Source: Rfam